CCAAACUUGGUCAUUUAGAGGAAGUAAAAGUCGUAACAAGGUUUCCGUAGGUGAACCUGCGGAAGGAUCAUUAUUGAACUUUGAACACUUUGUACUCUUGUCUGUUGCUGGCUUCUUCGGAAGUAUGUGCACGCUUGAGUGCAAGGGUCUUCUUUGUCCACCUGUGCACCUUUUGUAGAUCUGGAUACCUCUCGCCUUACCCAAGGCGGAUUUUGAAGGGUUGCUACUUCGUAGCUCCCUUUGUUUUCCAGGUCUAUGUCUUAUAUCAUCUCAAGUAUGUUUAGAAUGUCUUGUUUAUUGGACUCAGUCCUUUAAAAACUUAUACAACUUUCAACAACGGAUCUCUUGGCUCUCGCAUCGAUGAAGAACGCAGC
This 374-nucleotide unclassified non-coding RNA is filed under the name uncultured fungus. Its description in RNAcentral is "partial contains small subunit ribosomal RNA, internal transcribed spacer 1, and 5.8S ribosomal RNA". The stretch from base 1 to 73 matches the Rfam family "Eukaryotic small subunit ribosomal RNA", at positions 1759 to 1831 of the family's 1831-position model. Lineage: Eukaryota; Fungi. The record is from RNAcentral.